RNAcentral lists this ribosomal RNA (402 nucleotides) under uncultured bacterium. RNAcentral's name for it is "bacterial SSU rRNA". It matches the Rfam family "Bacterial small subunit ribosomal RNA", at positions 355 to 773 of the family's 1533-position model. The record is from RNAcentral.
UUGGGAAUCUUGGACAAUGGGGGAAACCCUGAUCCAGCCAUGCCGCGUGAGUGAUGAAGGCCUUCGGGUUGUAAAACUCUUUCGACGGGGACGAUAAUGACGGUACCCGUAGAAGAAGCUCCGGCUAACUUCGUGCCAGCAGCCGCGGUAAUACGAAGGGGGCGAGCGUUGUUCGGAUUUACUGGGCGUAAAGGGCGCGUAGGCGGCCACCGCAAGUCGACUGUGAAAUCUCCGGGCUUAACCCGGAAAGGUCAGCCGAUACUGCGGGGCUAGAGUGCAGAAGGGGCAACUGGAAUUCUCGGUGUAGCGGUGAAAUGCGUAGAUAUCGAGAGGAACACCUGCGGCGAAGGCGGGUUGCUGGGCUGACACUGACGCUGAUGCGCGAAAGCUAGGGGAGCGAAC